This 78-nucleotide transfer RNA is filed under the name Candidatus Cloacimonadota bacterium. RNAcentral's name for it is "tRNA-Pro". It matches the Rfam family "tRNA". Rfam says of the family: Transfer RNA (tRNA) molecules are approximately 80 nucleotides in length. Lineage: Bacteria; Pseudomonadati; Candidatus Cloacimonadota. The record is from RNAcentral.
CGGGAUGUAGCGCAGUCCGGGUAGCGUACACGACUGGGGGUCGUGUGGUCGCUGGUUCAAAUCCAGUCAUCCCGACCA